UACGAAGGGUGCAAGCGUUACUCGGAAUUACUGGGCGUAAAGGGUUCGUAGGCGGUGUGGCAAGUCGGGUGUGAAAUCUCUGGGCUUAACUCAGAGGCUGCUUCCGAAACUGCCGUGCUAGAGUGCGGGAGAGGCGAGUGGAAUUGCAGGUGUAGCGGUGAAAUGCGUAGAUAUCUGCAGGAACACCCGUGGCGAAGGCGGCUCGCUGGACCGCAACUGACGCUGAGGAACGAAAGCUAGGGGAGCAAACAGG
RNAcentral lists this ribosomal RNA (253 nucleotides) under uncultured bacterium. RNAcentral describes it as "partial 16S ribosomal RNA". It matches the Rfam family "Bacterial small subunit ribosomal RNA", at positions 524 to 776 of the family's 1533-position model. The record is from RNAcentral.